RNAcentral lists this ribosomal RNA (253 nucleotides) under uncultured bacterium. Its description in RNAcentral is "partial 16S ribosomal RNA". It matches the Rfam family "Bacterial small subunit ribosomal RNA", at positions 524 to 776 of the family's 1533-position model. The record is from RNAcentral.
UACAGAGGGUGCAAGCGUUGCUCGGAAUUAUUGGGCGUAAAGGGUAGGUAGGUGGUCUUAUUUGUCUGAGGUGAAAGCCUUGAGCUUAACUCAAGAAGUGCCUCAGAGACGGUAGGACUGGAGUCCUAGAGAGGGUCGUGGAAUUCCCGGUGUAGCGGUGAAAUGCGUAGAGAUCGGGAGGAACACCAGAGGCGAAAGCGACGACCUGGAUAGGUACUGACACUCAACUACGAAAGCGUGGGGAGCAAACAGG